Molecule: ribosomal RNA, 302 nt
Filed under: uncultured bacterium
Lineage: Bacteria
Description: partial 16S ribosomal RNA
Rfam family: Bacterial small subunit ribosomal RNA
Source: RNAcentral
GCAGCCGCCGCGGGAAUACAGAGGGUGCGAGCGUUAAUCGGAUUUACUGGGCGUAAAGCGUGCGUAGGCGGCUUUUUAAGUCGGAUGUGAAAUCCCUGAGCUUAACUUAGGAAUUGCAUUCGAUACUGGGAAGCUAGAGUAUGGGAGAGGAUGGUAGAAUUCCAGGUGUAGCGGUGAAAUGCGUAGAGAUCUGGAGGAAUACCGAUGGCGAAGGCAGCCAUCUGGCCUAAUACUGACGCUGAGGUACGAAAGCAUGGGGAGCAAACAGGAUUAGAUACCCGGGUAGUCCCUGUCUCUUAUAC